RNAcentral lists this ribosomal RNA (253 nucleotides) under uncultured bacterium. RNAcentral's name for it is "partial 16S ribosomal RNA". It matches the Rfam family "Bacterial small subunit ribosomal RNA", at positions 524 to 776 of the family's 1533-position model. The record is from RNAcentral.
UACGGAGGGUGCAAGCGUUAUCCGGAUUCACUGGGUUUAAAGGGUGCGUAGGUGGGCAGGUAAGUCAGUGGUGAAAUCUCCGGGCUUAACUCGGAAACUGCCAUUGAUACUAUCUGUCUUGAAUACCGUGGAGGUUAGCGGAAUAUGUCAUGUAGCGGUGAAAUGCUUAGAUAUGACAUAGAACACCAAUUGCGAAGGCAGCUUACUACACAGUAAUUGACGCUGAGGCACGAAAGCGUGGGGAUCAAACAGG